ACACGACUCUCGGCAAUGGAUAUCUCGGCUCUCGCAUCGAUGAAGAGCGCAGCGAAAUGCGAUACGUGGUGCGAAUUGCAGAAUCCCGCGAACCAUCGAGUCUUUGAACGCAAGUUGCGCCCGAGGCCAACCGGCCAAGGGCACGUCUGCCUGGGUGUCAAGC
RNAcentral lists this ribosomal RNA (163 nucleotides) under Dendrobium lituiflorum. RNAcentral's name for it is "5.8S ribosomal RNA". It matches the Rfam family "5.8S ribosomal RNA". From Rfam's summary of the family: 5.8S ribosomal RNA (5.8S rRNA) is a component of the large subunit of the eukaryotic ribosome. It is transcribed by RNA polymerase I as part of the 45S precursor that also contains 18S and 28S rRNA. Functionally, it is thought that 5.8S rRNA may be involved in ribosome translocation. Lineage: Eukaryota; Viridiplantae; Streptophyta; Magnoliopsida; Asparagales; Orchidaceae. RNAcentral also lists the same sequence under 1 other name. The record is from RNAcentral.